Molecule: long non-coding RNA, 798 nt
Filed under: Brassica napus (rape)
Lineage: Eukaryota; Viridiplantae; Streptophyta; Magnoliopsida; Brassicales; Brassicaceae
Description: long non-coding RNA (BNAP_LNC005205)
Source: RNAcentral
UUUCAAGCUUCAGAAGGAAGAUGCAUGCUGUCCCCUGCCUCUCUUGAUGCUCUGUCACAUAAUCCUUUGUGCUCUUCUUGUGUGAUGGGACCAGAGUUGAGCCAUUAAAACCUCUGCUUCCAUCAGCCAGUACUCCACCUAUCAUUCGUCUGCUCGUUUCUUGUUGACGGGUUAGGAUUCUCAGAGUGCGAUUUGGCUUCUUCUUUAUAUUGCACGUCUGGAGUGGACUUCACCGGUAGUGAUGGCUGGACCAGGACUUGCCGACCCUGCUUCACCUGUCUUCCUCUCAGAUUCGCCUUAGGGACAAGUUCACGGUCCCUCUAACUGUUCUCCGGUUGAAUUCUCAAAUGGCUCGUCUGAUUUUGAUGCAGGUCCCGUCUUCAAUAUAUACGCAUUGGUUUCCUGCAAUCUAAGUGUUGUCUAUGAAAUUGUAAUGUUAGCUAAGCUUCAAUCACUUCCUUAUGGUUGUGCUUGAACCUUCAUUUUCUUAUUGAGCUUUUUAGCUUUUUUGGUGGCCCUACAAGGCACCAUUGCUUUGUCUAUUGACCUAGCGACCUAGAAACAUUAGGAUUAGAUUCGUCAAAGGAAAAUGUAUCUUCCUGCUUCAUCAUUCAUUAAUGAAAUUCACAUACUUACCAAAUGAAAGCUUUCAUUAUGAGGGCUCAAGAAUUUAAUAGUAUGGGUUCGCCCGAUUAUGUAAUUUUGAAUUGAGAAAAUUUCAUAAUAUUCCAACUAAAUUUCGUUAAGCUUUUUAAUAUGCAAACCUUUUUGCUAUCCAGUUUAAUACAUUAAAUAAUU